RNAcentral lists this long non-coding RNA (703 nucleotides) under Helianthus annuus (common sunflower). Its description in RNAcentral is "sRNA HanXRQr2_Chr11g0478641". Lineage: Eukaryota; Viridiplantae; Streptophyta; Magnoliopsida; Asterales; Asteraceae. The record is from RNAcentral.
UAAUUGUGUCAUCAUUUGUGCAAAUCAAUGUAGUGGGUUUUAUUGCUAUAUUUUUGGUGUGUUCAUCUUGAUUUACUAUCAAAAUCAGAUUUUUGGCUAGAUUUGAUCCUACAAUUUGGUAUCAGAGCUUGGUACUCGAAUUUGAGAUUCAACAAUCUUCAAAUUCAUCCUAAAAAAAAUCUGAUUUUGAUUUGAAAAGUUUUAAAACUUUUAGGGUUUUUGACUUUAUUCACUUUUUCUUCAAAAAUCUUGUUUUUAAAAGGUUUAAAUUAUGUGUUUGCUGAUUAGGUUUCAGCUCAAAUCAGAAGGUUUUAGAUGAGUUUUUGAAGUUUCUGGGCGAUUUUUUAUGAAUACAACGACUUUAUUUUGAAUACAGCGAAUUUAUUGAAAGUUCCGGCGAAUUUGGGUUUUCCGGCAACUUUCCGACGGAAUUAACUUUUCCGGCGAAAUUAAAUCUUGAACGCGAGUUCAAGUUCUCCGGCGUAUUUGGUAAAUACGCCGGUAAGUCACAUAUUUCUAGGGUCGUUAUUUUGAUUUUUUUUGUUUUUUUUUGCCAGCAUAGAUAGACAGAAAGGGGGUAGAAAUAGAAUAGGUUUAAUCUUUUUCACUUUCAUCCAGAAAGCACUAUAGCCUCAAUCAUUUUAUUAACAUCAGUUGUUCAUAAAAACAAACUAGAUUUCUUGCAAGAAAACAAGACUUCUUG